RNAcentral lists this ribosomal RNA (253 nucleotides) under uncultured bacterium. Its description in RNAcentral is "partial 16S ribosomal RNA". It matches the Rfam family "Bacterial small subunit ribosomal RNA", at positions 524 to 776 of the family's 1533-position model. The record is from RNAcentral.
UACGUAGGGUGCGAGCGUUAAUCGGAAUUACUGGGCGUAAAGCGUGCGCAGGCGGCUUUGUAAGUUAGAGGUGAAAGCCCGGAGCUCAACUCCGGAACUGCCUUUAAGACUGCAUCGCUAGAACGAUGGAGAGGUGAGUGGAAUUCCGAGUGUAGAGGUGAAAUUCGUAGAUAUUCGGAAGAACACCAGUGGCGAAGGCGACUCACUGGACAUCUGUUGACGCUGAGGUGCGAAAACAUGAAAAACAAACAGG